UGGAGAGGUGCAUGAUAUGGUGGAGAUUUAGGCAUUAGGCUAAUUUCACAGUGGCACUAAUGGUGUUAGCAUGGUUACUGGAGCCAGGGCUGUGGUGGUGGUGGUGGACUCUAAAUUCUCAAAGCAUGUCAAAGUUGAGAGUAUCCUGGUGCUUGGGGCUUUUAUGGGCUAUUUCUUGGGUUUAUCACAUGCUAGGAAGAAAAUUGCCUCGAAAGGCAGCUGGAUUCCCGUGAAGAGUGAGG
This 242-nucleotide unclassified non-coding RNA is filed under the name Hevea brasiliensis (rubber tree). The record is from RNAcentral. Lineage: Eukaryota; Viridiplantae; Streptophyta; Magnoliopsida; Malpighiales; Euphorbiaceae.